UUUGGUGGGAGGCCCUGGACCUAGAAAGAAACAUAGUGGAGAAAACUAAACAAGAAUCUUUCUUUCUUAAAUUAAACAUCGGACUGACAUCUCCUUUCAAACAUUCAUUGAGGAUCUACUCUGUGAGAAGUAGCAAUACCAUGUUAUCUCAUUCUAGUUCCAGUUCUAGUUGACUUGUCAAACAACUGCUAAGAAGUAGAAAGGAGGCUUCACCAUGUUUGCCAGGAUGGUCUUGAACUCUUGACCUCAGGUGAUCCACCCACCUCGGCCUCCCAAAGUGCUAGGAUUACAGGCAUGAGCCACCACACCCGGCUGUUUCUGUGUCACGUUUUGAUACUUGAAUAAAAAUGACACUUUGGAGUCUUGAAAAAUGGACUUUCCUUCUGAAGUACCCAGGAGAGUAGGAUGGACUUCUUCUCUCCCUACACUACCCCUUGGAAAAAACCUUUUAUCAAGAAGAUACCAAAUAUCAUCACUGAUAUAAUGUCAGAGGAGGCCACUCUCUAUAGCCCAACCUCCAGGAUUUCAGCACUUCGUGGACAUGGAGGCUGGUGCAUUUUUUCACUUGGCUUUACUUCUGCUCGAAGACCAUUGCUCAGAAGUAGUGACAUGGGUUCAUCCAACUUCAAGGAAAGCUAGCAAAUUAAGGGAACAGCAGGUAUUCAGGGAGCACUGACUGCUUCUAGCACAUGCUCUGAAGGAUUCUCUGAACCUGCUUUAUUUCCCUUAGUUCCAUAAUUUUGGGGUGUGCCUCCUGGCAUCGCGUCUCUACUGUAUAUUGAUAACAUUCUCUAAAGGUAAGAAUUCUCUAAAGAAUACAUGGAUAAAAUGGUCCUAAAGGGAACACAGAAGGAAGAAGAAAGAAGCAGUGAACACAUAUAUGGUACUGGCACUAUUUACUAGCUGAUGACCUCAGCAGAUUAUUUAAACCCAUUGUGCUUCAACUACCUUAUCUGUAAAGAUAGGAGUGAUAAUAAUAGCACCCGCCUCAUAGGAUUGUUUUGAGGACAAAAUUAAUGUACAUGAGACACUUAGAACAGUGCCUGGAACAUGGAGAGCACAAUAAGUCCUAGUUAUUAUUAUUUCAUGAACAAUUAAAUUCUGAAUAAUAGAGAACUGAAAAUAAAAGUGAUUGUAAAUUUAUAAAAUUUUAAAUCAUCUCCUGUAUAAACCCCAGACUAAUGAAGAAGGUUCUCAUUUUAAUAUGUUUUAUUACAAGGAUUAUGGAAACCCAUAAAAAAUAAACACAGAAUGUGUUCCUUCCCUGCACAUGUGGCACUUUGGCUGGAGGUAAACAUUUUGUUUUUGGAAAAGCUGAAAAAGAGCAAGGCAAAAGAGCCAAUGUGUAGAGGGCACUUAGGAUGUGUUUUGGAAUUGCACACCAUAUUGCUUUAUUGAAACUCUCGUUCAGUAUCAAGGGACUGUGUGAUGAGGGUCCCCAGGGCGAAGGGCCCCAUCAGAUGCUUUCAGAGGACUCAGGCCCACCCCUGCUGAUGUGGCUCUGUGAUGAUGGCUUGUCUUCUAAGUUGUCAGCAGGAAGAUAUUCUUGCUGCCUUCUUUCCCUCUGCAUUGCCAACAAGGAAGAACAGCCGGGGCAAAUGAGACAAUCUUUUUCCAAUUACAUGGUAUGCAUAUUUUAUUUCAGCCACCGCCUGUGAGAAACAUGAUCCUGAGUGAUUUAGUGGUGCUGAGGCAAAGCCAGCCCAUGAAAGAUUUGGAAGUACAUUGGCAAAUUUCCAGAAGAUUAUUUGGGUGAAAUGGCAUGGAGAAGGCCGAGUUGAAAUUUUCCUUGUGCUGAACUAAGUAAAACAUCAGCCAAAAUUCCAGCCAACAGUUUUUGCAAAGGCAUAACUUCUGAACCAGAGUCUAAACAAAAACCCUGUCCAGGGCCAGCUUUUCAUUUCGUCAAUGAGGAAAACAAGGUCCUGAAAAGUUCAAUGACUUACUCAAGUUCACAUGAACUGAGAAGAGCGCAGGGAUUCGCCGUCUUCCAAACCACUGCUCUUUCCAUGACAUCUUACUGCCUUCUACCUAAUGUGCAAACACCAUAGACUCCACCUGGAUUUCUUAUACAUCAUAUCAGAUUUCACCACAAGUCCAGUGACAAAGAUUGUCCUUACAUCAUACUUGAGGAGCCCAGUCAGUUUUGAAGAAAGAAGAGGAAAUCAGAAAGAUAACAUGACUUACUCAUGAUCACACAGUCACCGGGAUUGGAUCUUAGAUUUUCUAAGUCCAUGGCUGGCACUUUGCAACUUAAAUACUUUUGGGUAAGGAAUGGGGUGUCUGUAUGCAAGAAAUGCACCAAAAGCACUCGCUGACACACAAGUGAACACAAACACAGCUCGGACAAAGUGAAGUGUUCCUUCCGUGCUCCAGUUCUUCUCGGCCAUUUGUGUCUCUUCAUCUCACUCUACUUUUCUAUAUCUGUGAGUUUGGCUAUCUUUUUCUCUAUAGAUUGGAUUCUCGUUUAUUUGUUUUUCUGCCUACUGAAAUUCUAAGCAUUGUUUAUGUUCCAUCUCAGAUACAAUUAAUUCAUUUGGUAUUCUUUUGAUUUGUAUUGACUGUUUCCCUCCUUAGCCUUGGCCUCUCAAAACAAUGCUAUUUAUACAUGACUUUGGAUGCUUUAUCAUAUGGAUAUGUGUGAGAAUGACUCAUGUUCAUAUCUGUCUCUUCUUAGGAGGGUCAGCUUUAUAAGAGCAAAGAACAUGGCUUGUUAUUUCUGGGCUUUCCUUGGCUUGUACGUAGGAAGAGAUAAGUACACAUGGGACGAAUUUAAUUAAGGAUUUGUAUGAGCAACUCAUGGCAAUGACAAGCCACGAAAUAAAAAAUUUACCUUUUCCUUCUUGCGCAGUAGGAUUCUGAACUCCCUUAGAUGAUCAAGCGGCAAUUGCAGAGCAGAGGGAGAAUGGCAGACACUAGCAAAAGAACCAGUUGUGACAGGUGGUGCUAGUUAGAGUGACAGAAAGCAGAGAUGUCUGAGGUUUCCCUUUACAAGCACUCAUCCUGCCUCACUUGCCUGCUUUAUUAUGCAUCUUUCCUAUUCAACUGAAAACUUCAUGAGCUUGUUCCCCAUUGUAUUCUCAAUGCCUAGCAUCGUGCAGGGUUAGAGGAGGAGCUUAGAAAUAUUUUUUGACUGAAUGACAUGACAGUUGAGUCUUUUACAGUAAAAAUAGAAAAGGAGAACACACGUCAUGUACAGAUUGUUUAUUCACUGAUCAUGGUCUCUGCAUAAAGUGUUUUGAUUGUUAGUGUGUGUUUUUGUUCAUUUGAAUGGCUUAUGCCUUUGUAAGUUUUGUUUUUUACCCACUUCCGUAUGUCUUUCUGUUUUUGGUUACGUUUCUACACUGCCAAAACAAAAUAAAGCCAACAGCUGCCUCCA
Pongo pygmaeus (Bornean orangutan) is the source of this 3379-nucleotide long non-coding RNA. RefSeq lists it as uncharacterized. The transcript is spliced from 10 exons. The record is from RefSeq and is a predicted model, not a curated record. Lineage: Eukaryota; Metazoa; Chordata; Mammalia; Primates; Hominidae.